GCCUCGGUAGUGUAAUGGAUAAAAGCCCGAUGCUUGAGCAGCACUUAUACGGGUUCGAGUCUCGUCCGGGGCC
RNAcentral lists this transfer RNA (73 nucleotides) under Haemonchus contortus (barber pole worm). RNAcentral describes it as "tRNA, Pseudo". It matches the Rfam family "tRNA". From Rfam's summary of the family: Transfer RNA (tRNA) molecules are approximately 80 nucleotides in length. The record is from RNAcentral. Lineage: Eukaryota; Metazoa; Nematoda; Chromadorea; Rhabditida; Trichostrongylidae.